This 250-nucleotide ribosomal RNA is filed under the name uncultured bacterium. Its description in RNAcentral is "partial 16S ribosomal RNA". It matches the Rfam family "Bacterial small subunit ribosomal RNA", at positions 355 to 619 of the family's 1533-position model. The record is from RNAcentral.
UCGAGGAUAUUCGACAAUGGGCGAAAGCCUGAUCGAGCGACGCCGCAUGGUGGAUGAAGUCCUUCGGGACGUAAACAUCUUUUAUGAGGGAGGAAGUUAUUGACGUUACCUCAUGAAUAAGGGGCUCCUAACUCUGUGCCAGCAGGAGCGGUAAUACAGAGGCCCCAAGCAUUACCCGGAAUCACUGGGCGUAAAGGGUGUGUAGGCGGUUGUAUUAGUCGUUUGUUAAAUCCCGGGGCUUAACUCCGGA